This 103-nucleotide small nuclear RNA is filed under the name Sus scrofa (pig). Lineage: Eukaryota; Metazoa; Chordata; Mammalia; Artiodactyla; Suidae. The record is from RNAcentral.
UUUUGAAUUUUGAAUACAGACUAAAACUAGAAUGACAUAGAGGAGAUGAGCCUGGCCCCUGUGCAAGGACGACACGCAAAAUCGUGAAAUGUUCCAUGUUCUU